AAUCAACGCUGGCGGCGUGCCUAACACACGCAAGUCGAACGGGAAGGAGGGCUUCGGCUCUCCGGAGAGUGGCGCACGGGUGAGUAACACGUGGGUAAUCUGCCUUUGGGUGGGGAAUAACGAUCCGAAAGGGUCGCUAAUACCGCAUAACGCAGCGGCACCGCAUGGUGACAGUUGUUAAAGGGGGGGAUCGAAAGACCUCUCGCCUGAAGAGGAGCCCGCGCCCGAUUAGCUUGUUGGUGAGGUAAUGGCUCACCAAGGCUUCGAUCGGUAGCCGGCCUGAGAGGGCGGUCGGCCACACUGGCACUGAGACACGGGCCAGACUCCUACGGGAGGCAGCAGUGGGGGAAUUUUGGGCAAUGGGCGAAAGCCUGACCCAGCAACGCCGCGUGAAGGACGAAAUCCCUCUGGGAUGUAAACUUCGAAAGUCAGGAAAGAAAUCGAGUGGGGUAAUAUCCCGCUUGGAUGACGGUACCUGACGUAAGCCCCGGCUAACUACGUGCCAGCAGCCGCGGU
This 516-nucleotide ribosomal RNA is filed under the name uncultured bacterium. Its description in RNAcentral is "bacterial SSU rRNA". It matches the Rfam family "Bacterial small subunit ribosomal RNA", at positions 32 to 521 of the family's 1533-position model. The record is from RNAcentral.